This is a long non-coding RNA of Canis lupus familiaris (dog), 2249 nucleotides long. RefSeq lists it as uncharacterized. The transcript is spliced from 7 exons. Lineage: Eukaryota; Metazoa; Chordata; Mammalia; Carnivora; Canidae. The record is from RefSeq and is a predicted model, not a curated record.
GCCUGUUCAUGAGAUCUUGUUAAAAUGCAGAUUCUGGGAGCACCUGGGUGGUGCAGUCAGGUGUCAAGCCUACCCAGGAAGCCAACCAUAAGACUAGGAGCACAAAGGAAUGAAUGUUCAGUGCAGGCAGGCAGAGCUGGAAAAGAGGACCAAGAAGAUGGUACCAAUCCAACAUACUCAGAUUCCUUUCCCAAAUUCAUGCAAUAGUUCUUCUGGAGAGGAGGGAAUGAAGGGUAAGGAGAGCUCCACAGGUGUUGCUCCACAAUGAAUCAUGACACAGACAGAUGCUGGCAUGCUCUUUUUCUACUCCCCUUCAUCCUGUAAACUUUCCAUGUCUACUCUGUGUGAGGUGCAGUGUUUGUGGUUAAUGCAGAGAGAGAUGGACAAGCACAUGGCAGGGUGGACAUGACUUGUGCUGAGAAGCUGAAAUGGAGUCGUUCAUGGAGUUUUUAAGAAAUCACAUCAUUCAUUGCAGCUAAAGGAGAUGAUAUGAACUCUGCCCCCCAUGUUGCCAGAAUCAGAAACUCAUUCACUCUUUUGUCAGUUAUCCGGCUGGCCCUUGGGGGCUUGUGAAUGGCUAAGAGCAAGGGCCCUGAGCAAAGCCGACCUACUUUUGAAUCACUGCUAUAACUACUGAUGAGCUGUUUGGUACUAGGAGCACAGGUCUGCAAACGAACGAUAGAACUCAAACCCGAAUGCAGUUAAUCUGAAGAGUAGUGGAAGCACAGGGGCAAUUGCAUCUCUGUGGCAACCCUUUGAAACCCAGUGACAGCGCAUGGGCAUAAAGCCAAGAGAAGAAAACAUUCUAAAAUACUCCUUCUAAUCCUGAAGUAAGAAACAGAAAACAAGACUAUUCACCCGCAGAAGUCUCCAAACAAAUGAAAUGUGAAAGUGAUUGGAAGCACUUGUCAGGUGGUCUUAAAUAUGGAUGUUCCUCGGUUAUUUCUCUCUGCAUACUGUCUCCCGGCAACCCAUCCAUUCCCAUGACCUUAAUUAUGGGCACAUUAAUUCUCCCUUCUUCACGCUUCUCCAUGGGGCUCUGGGCCAGAACAUGCAUGCCUCCUGGAUAUCUCCCUACAGCUGUCUCACCUGCCCAAAGACCAACUGACCAUCUCAGUACUUCCUCCCUAAUUUAUCAGUUAGCUCAACAGUUCAGACACCUGCCAUUUCCACAGCUGUUCAUCUGCCGUCCUUCCCCCCCAACUCCCCACAACUCUGCACCCACUGCCAGGUUCUGCUCCAUCUCUUACACUGCUUAGACCCUCCAGUUUGCCCCAUACCCACAACACUCUUUCUCAUCUAGCCUACAGCUUGGCACCUUACUGUCCUCCUCCCUCCAGAACAUUCUCAAUAGGCAGCCAGACUGCCUUCCUGAAAUGUAACUCUAAUCAUGUCCCUCCUUUCUUUAACAUUUUUUUUCCCACCAUGGUUCUCCAGGUAAUGACCCCAGUGGUGGCUUCAAGGCCUGAGUGCUCAGACCCUACUAACCCAUCCGGCUUCCUCUCUCAUCAUGCUCCUGCCCCUAUGCUGGGCAUUUAUCAGGACUCUACCUUGCCUCUCAGCCUGAUUAGCUACUGCUCAUCCUUCAGAACUCAGUCUAAAAAAAUCCUUUCCACCAAGGUUCUCCCCCUUCCUCCCCCACACUAGGGUAGGUCUUCCUGUUACAUAUCCCCAUAGCAACACAAACUCCUGCUUUUAUAGCACAGGUUAGGAUGGUCAUUAACCAAAUUGUCAUCUGCAAAAUCUCCUCCCCUGCCCUCGUCCUAAGGCUCUUCGCCCUGGGUCCUUAGCCCUCCACCAUCCUGACCACACUAACCCAGUGCCCUGUCAUCAUCCAAUUGCAUAGUGGUUUCCAUACCACACCACAUGCUUCUUAAAGUGACCAACUUUGUCUUUUACCUGCCACUCCUCAGGAUCUAGGGCAGUGCUAAAUGCUAGUGAUGAAUGCCAGUUGAAUGAAGGGUGAAGAAAUUGCUCUGAAAGCAACUCCUCAGUACAGAAAUCUGAUCCUGACACUUUCCUGAUCAAUGGCUUCCCAUCUCACUCAGAAUAAAAUUCAAGAUCCUUUUCACCACCAGUCAAGUUUUGCAUGAUUUUGCCCUUGUCGACCUAUCUGAUCUCAUGUCCUACACUGUCCUUUUAAUUUCUCUCUUUCCCUCUCUCUCUUUUUUAAAGAUUUUAUUUAUUUAUUCAUGAGAGACACAGAGAGAGGCAGAGACAUAGGCAGAGGGAGAAGCAGGGUCCCUGCG